UUGCAGGGACUCUCAAUCAGAAACUGAAACCAGAAUCACGAGGAAAAUUACCUUCAGAGAAUGACAAUGGAUUCAGAGGUUUCUGGAAUCUUUCAAGGGCAGUUUUAAGCUAGAAGAAUCCAAAGAUGAAAGCACAAUGCCUUUAUUGUGUUAAAUCACUUAAUAAAUGCUUAUUUGAUCAUUCAUUUGGAGAUCAUCCAGAGAUGGCUCUCUCUGGAUACAGACGGCUCUCUCUAUCACAAGUCUAUUGGAAUUGGCCUGAAUAACCUCAUUGCUGAAAAGAUCUAAGUCCAUCACAGUUGACCAUCACAUGAUCUUGCUAUUGCUAUAUACAAUAUCCUCUUGGCUCUUCUCACUUCACUCAGUUCAUCAAAGUCUCUCCAGGCCUUUGUGAAAUCAUCUUGCUGAUCGUUUCUUAUAAAAACAAUAAUAUUCCAUUACAUUCAUAUGCAUAACUUAUUCAGCCAUUCCCCAACUGAUGGGCAUUCACUCAGUUUCCAGUUAAAGAAUAGAUUUGAACCCAGUUUUUCCCUAACCACAUAUCCAGAAAUGCAUCCAUGAUUUCACAUUGUGUAUAGUCUUCUACUUGUCUUUUAAUAACUUAAAAUAAAUGAACAAAUGAAUGAAUAAAUAUACAAACAAAAAAAUAAAUGAGUAAAGUAUUUGUCCUUUGUUUUCAUGAAGGGCCAAUGAUACUACAGAAUGAUGUCUCGAGACAGACUUGC
Antechinus flavipes (yellow-footed antechinus) is the source of this 725-nucleotide long non-coding RNA. RefSeq lists it as uncharacterized. Lineage: Eukaryota; Metazoa; Chordata; Mammalia; Dasyuromorphia; Dasyuridae. The transcript is spliced from 3 exons. The record is from RefSeq and is a predicted model, not a curated record.